Non-coding RNA from Pelobates cultripes (western spadefoot toad), 224 nucleotides. The record is from the annotation of a GenBank genome assembly. Lineage: Eukaryota; Metazoa; Chordata; Amphibia; Anura; Pelobatidae.
CCUCUCUUCCAGCUGAUGUUCAAUCUCUGGGCGCAGGAAUCCUCCAUUCAAGAGUACUUUCCAGGUCUUUAUAUCCAUGGAGUCCAGGUCUUCUCUUGGCUGAGGUAUUAUUCCAACUGGGUACCAGGUGACUGGUUGAGCAUGCGUGUGGAUAUUGUGGAUCUUUACUUGACAUUGAGCUUGAACAUGAUCUUUCUGACACUCCGAAGGGACUUGUGUUUAUU